Oxyura jamaicensis (ruddy duck) is the source of this 1187-nucleotide long non-coding RNA. RefSeq lists it as uncharacterized. The record is from RefSeq and is a predicted model, not a curated record. Lineage: Eukaryota; Metazoa; Chordata; Aves; Anseriformes; Anatidae. The transcript is spliced from 2 exons.
CAGGGAAGGAGCAGAGCUACUUCUGGAAGGGCUGGAGGUGGUGAAGAGCUCAUCCAAAAACAAGAGGCCUUUUCUUCACUUGAUUCAGCACCACCACCGCUCGGUUGCCAAGGCACCAGCCUUUGAUUCCUGCACUCUGGUUCUAACCACGGUGCCCGAGAGCUCCUGCCCGUGUCCCAGCACUGCCCCGCAGCCGAGCCCUGUGGUGUCCCCGUGGUGCAGAGCCAUCUCCACCACCAAGCCGUGGUGGGCUCCUUCCAGGGCCCGACACCAGGAUCUGCCUUCCAGAUUGGUUCAUUGGGGCAAAAAAAAAAAGGAAAAACAGAGGGCAAAAUUAUGUCUUGCUGCUGUGCGUAUGGGGCUGCUCAACCCGAAUCUCUGCUGGUCUCCUUGCUGAAAGCAGUGGUCAAGAAACCCCUGAAGUGAUGGUGAUGCCACCCUAGACCAGUUAGGAGCAAAGCCGAGGUUGUUUUUGCUUUCCUGCCUGCUCACUGCCUCUCCUACAGCUCCACUGCCUUCACCAGCUGAUGCACAUCUGCCUCAAAUACCCCAAAAUGCCUCAAAUAAAAGCAAAGUCAUUCCUUACUGCCAAAGCCAUUGCCCUGAGUCAACCAUCUUACCUCCUGGACACCCGUCCAUACAUUGCUGCUAAAGCUUCCAACAUAAAUACCUCCAAAUUCAAGCCUUAUCGGUGGAAAAAGAUGUUUCUGCUUUUCGGUUUUACCAUCAGAAAAGAAACACCUCCUAAAGUGAGGGAAAGAAGCGGAGAGAAGCGAGCCGGGAAGGCAACGGGCAGUGCAUCCUGAUGCCUUUAAGUCACUAGAUGAAGUUCAUUUCUCCUUGUCGGAACAAGGCUGGACUCUUUGCAUUUUCAUGGUAAAUUUGUUUACCGAGCCGUUGUUGAAAUUCUGGAAGCAGAGAAAAUGCAUUUGCUCCAUAACCUUUCCGGAUCUGACAAGUCCUAUAAAAUCUAUUAAAGCCUUUAAUGAAAUCCCCGCUCAGAGCCAGCUCCCAUGAAUGAAUGUGGAAUCGGAAUUUAAAUUAAAAUGUUGUUUUUGUAGUCUGUGGGCUUUAGCCUUGGCAGAAAUUAAAGGGGCAGUUCACGUUUGGCGGUGUGCAGCCUUCUCCCUUUAGUUUCGAGCCCUCACGAGCCGCCUCUCCGUGCCGAGGGUGGGUGUUUGGAUCUC